RNAcentral lists this long non-coding RNA (454 nucleotides) under Vulpes vulpes (red fox). RNAcentral's name for it is "lncRNA (ENSVVUG00000018104.1)". The record is from RNAcentral. Lineage: Eukaryota; Metazoa; Chordata; Mammalia; Carnivora; Canidae.
CGAAGGGAGAGGGAGAGAGAGAAUCUUAAGCAGGCUCCCGGCCCACCACAGGGCACAAUGUGAGGAUGGAUCUUAGAACCCUGAGAUCAUGACCUGAGCCAACAUCAAGAGUAGGGCACUUAACCAAUUGAGCUACUCAGGCACCUCAAAAUUUAAUGUAUCUUAGAAAAAAAAUCUGAUUAAAAAAAAAGGAAGUCUGCUUUGCAGAUAAACAGAUGGACUACAUCUUCCUCUGCAAAUGAUGUUGUAAGGGUAAUGUUUUUUAAAUAUGGGGCUAAGAAUAUCAUCCAUCUUCAGAUGUACCAACACUAACACAAAGGAAAAAAACAAAAGAAUCAGAAACACGGCAAUGAUGGCAUCAGUCCAUUGUUCUUUACCAAAUACUAUGAGAAGGUGAUAUAGUGAUACAUGAAGUUGUAGUUUCACCUCUGCAUGCCACAGGCUUCAGGUUUUU